UCGUGCAAUCCACCGCCUCGGCCUCCCAAAGUGCUAGGAUUACAGGCGUGAGCCACCGUGCCUGGCCCAUCUACCAUGUCUUAACCAUUUCAUAAAAACAAGCCAAGAAUAGGGAGCAGCUGCUUUAAAACUGAAAAAAUAACAUUUUCCACUUAUCUUUUUAGGAAAGAUGAGAAAGGAAAUGGUCCAGUGUUAUCCAUAGUUGUGGGGAAAUAGACAUUCCUAUCCAGUGGCUAAAAGUGUUAUUUCUUUUAUUACUGAUGAGAUUGGACAUUUGAAGAUAUAUUUAGUGGCCAUUUGUGCUGCUUCUGUAAACUACCUGUCCGUUGCCUAAGCUUAUUUUUUUAAUUGGAUUUUUAAAAUUAUUUACAAGGGUUUUUUUUUAAUCCUAAAGACACUAACAUUUAAGUUGUACUAGAGAGAGGUAUUGGCUGAUGCAAAUAGACAAGAAAAAUCAAUUAGAAGUGUGAGAAUUAGAAAAGAAGUAAAACUAUAUUUGCAGUUGAUACAGUUUAUUUAGAAAACCCAAGACAAUGACAAAAUUAACUUAAUAAAAUAAUUGUCAGAUAGCAGGAUAUAAAUUAGUACAGCAAUCAGUAGAUAAUGGUAGAGCAAACCUCAUUUAAAAAAACAAUAGCUUUCUCUGCUGGCACCAGCGCUGCUGCCUGCUCCUCCCCGGCCAUGGCGUUCAUGUUCGCGGCCUUUUGCUACAUGCUGGCACUGCUGCUCACUGCCACGCUCAUCUUCUUCGCUAUCUGGCACAUUAUAGCAUUUGAUGAGCUGAAGACUGAUUACAAGAAUCCCACAGACCAGUGUAAUACCCUGAAUCCUCUUGUACUUCCAGAGUACCUCAUCCAUGCUUUCUUCUGUGUCAUGUUUCUUUGUGCAGCAGAGUGGCUUACACUGGGUCUCAAUAUGCCCCUCUUGGCAUAUCAUAUUUGGAGGUAUAUGAAUAGACCAGUGAUGAGUGGACCAGGAUUCUAUGACCCUACAACCAUCAUGAAUGCAGAUAUUCUAGCAUAUUGUCAGAAAGAAGGAUGGUGCAAAUUAGCUUUUUAUCUUCUAGCAUUUUUUUACUACUUAUACGGCAUGAUCUGUGUUUUGGUAAGCUCUUAGAACAACACACAGAAGAUUCGGUCCAGUUAAGUGCAUGCAAAAAGCCACCAUAUGAAGGGAUUCUAUCCAGCAAGAUCCUGUUUCCAAGAGUAGCCUAUGGAAUCUGAUCAGUUACUUUAAAAAAAUGACUCCUUAUUUUUUAAAUGUUCCACAUUUUUGCUUGUGGAAAGACUUUUCAUAUGUUAUACUCAGAUAAAGAAUUUAAAUGGAAUUAUGUAUAAAUUAAUAUAAAAUGAUUACCUCUGGUAUUGACAGGUUUGAACUUGCACUCCUUAAGGAACAGCCAUAAUCCUCUGAAUGAUUGCAUUAAUUACUUAGUCCAUUAGAAGCUUUUGUUUAUAGGAAUUGGUAGGGCUCAUUUUUGGUUUUAUUGAAAGGACAUCUAAUUAUAAAUGAGCUAUGGAUAUCAGGUGCUUCUGAUGAGCUGGAAAUGUAUAUCUGACUCAUGGGAAACUUCAUGGGUUUCCUCAUCUAUCAUGUAGAUGAUUAUAUAUGGGUACAUUUACAAAAAUAAGAGUGGGAUUUUUUCCCUUCAACUUUAAUAUUAUCCCUAUAUAUUGCAUGAAUGAGAGAUUUCCCAUAUUUCCACCAGAGUAAGAAAUAUACUUGCUUUAAUUCUUAAGCAUAAGUGAACAUGAUCUAAAAAAUAUGCUGAAUUACUUGUGAAGAAUGCAUUUAAAGCUAUUUUAAAUGUGUUUUUAUUUGUAAGACGUUACUUGUUAAGAAAUUUGUUAUUAUGCUUACUGUUCUAAUCUGGUAGUAAAGGUAUUCUUAAGAAUUUGCAAGUACUUUAGAUUUUCAAAACUGAAUAAGAGAGAAAAUUAUAUAACCAUCCUGCUGUUCCUUUAGUGCAAUACAAUAAAACUCUGAAAUUAAAACAAACAAAAAAAACAAUAAAGUUUUCCUCCCUGGCUGCUUGAGGAUCAACCACCAUCAUGAAUGACACAGUAAGUUUAUGACUAAUCGACUACUUCAGAGGAAACAAAUGGUCAUUGAUGUCCUUCACCCAAGGAAGGCAACAGUACCUAAGAUAGAAAUUUGGGGAAAACUAGCCAAAAUGUACAAGACCACACUGGAUGUUAUCUUUGUAUUUGGAUUCAGAACUCACUUUGGUGGGGGCAAGACAACUGGCUUUGACAUGAUUUGCAAAAAAAAAAAAAAUGAACCCAAAGAUAGACUUGCAAGACAUGGCCUGUAUGAGAAGAAAAAGACUUCAAGAAAUCAAGGAAAGGAACACAAAAA
Non-coding RNA from Microcebus murinus (gray mouse lemur), 2358 nucleotides. The record is from RefSeq and is a predicted model, not a curated record. Lineage: Eukaryota; Metazoa; Chordata; Mammalia; Primates; Cheirogaleidae.